RNAcentral lists this long non-coding RNA (301 nucleotides) under Panax ginseng (ginseng). RNAcentral's name for it is "long non-coding RNA (PGIN_LNC016358)". Lineage: Eukaryota; Viridiplantae; Streptophyta; Magnoliopsida; Apiales; Araliaceae. The record is from RNAcentral.
AGCUGCAGAAGCUGUGCAAGAAACUGAGAAGGCUUACAAACAGAUUGAUCGAUUGAAGAGGAAUCAUGAACAAGAUGUUAGUACUUUGAAUCAAUUACUUGCGGAGUCCCAUAGGGCUAAAGAAGUAGGACCUGUUUAUGAUAUGGCCAAAGAAGUAGGACCUGUUUAUGAUGACUCGGACAUGGCGAAAUAUGAUGCAGUGGAACUGGACACCACAGCUGAUCAGCGAUGGAGAGACGAAUUCGAGCCAUUUUAUAAUGGUGAUGAGGAGUCAACUAAAUUAGUAGAACCCUCCUCAUGG